Non-coding RNA from Schistosoma curassoni, 45 nucleotides. Lineage: Eukaryota; Metazoa; Platyhelminthes; Trematoda; Strigeidida; Schistosomatidae. The record is from Rfam.
AUUCAUCUGACGAGUCGCAAAUAGGACGAAACGUUCAGCCUGGAU